RNAcentral lists this ribosomal RNA (402 nucleotides) under uncultured prokaryote. RNAcentral's name for it is "bacterial SSU rRNA". It matches the Rfam family "Bacterial small subunit ribosomal RNA", at positions 355 to 774 of the family's 1533-position model. The record is from RNAcentral.
UGGGGAAUAUUGGACAAUGGGCGCAAGCCUGAUCCAGCCAUGCCGCGUGAGUGAUGACGGCCUUAGGGUUGUAAAGCUCUUUCACCCACGACGAUAAUGACGGUAGUGGGAGAAGAAGCCCCGGCUAACUUCGUGCCAGCAGCCGCGGUAAUACGAAGGGGGCUAGCGUUGUUCGGAAUCACUGGGCGUAAAGCGUACGUAGGCGGAUCGUUAAGUCAGAGGUGAAAUCCCGGAGCUCAACUUCGGAAUUGCCUUUGAUACUGGCGAUCUUGAGUUCGGGAGAGGUGAGUGGAACUGCUAGUGUAGAGGUGAAAUUCGUAGAUAUUAGCAAGAACACCAGUGGCGAAGGCGGCUCACUGGCCCGAUACUGACGCUGAGGUACGAAAGCGUGGGGAGCAAACA